GAGAAAGAACUACAAGGAUUUCCCCUAGUAMCUGCGAGUGAAGCGGGAAAAGCUCAAAUUUAAAAUCUGGCAGUCUUUGGCUGUCCGAGUUGUAAUCUAGAGAAGUGUUACCCGCGCUGGACCGUGUACAAGUCUCCUGGAAUGGAGCGUCAUAGAGGGUGAGAAUCCCGUCUCUGACACGGACUACCAGGGCUUUGUGGUAUGCUCUCAAAGAGUCGAGUUGUUUGGGAAUGCAGCUCAAAAUGGGUGGUAAAUUCCAUCUAAAGCUAAAUAUUGGCGAGAGACCGAUAGCGAACAAGUACCGUGAGGGAAAGAUGAAAAGAACUUUGGAAAGAGAGUUAAACAGUACGUGAAAUUGCUGAAAGGGAAACGCUUGAAGUCAGUCGCGUUGGCCAGGGAUCAGCCUCACUUCUUGUGUGGUGUAUUUUCUGGUUGACGGGUCAGCAUCAAUUUUGACUGCUGGAAAAAGACUUGGGGAAUGUGGCAGCUUUUGCUGUGUUAUAACCUCAUGUUGCAUACAGUGGUUGGGAUUGAGGAACUCAGCACGCCGCAAGGCCGGGUUUCGACCACGUUCGUGCUUAGGAUGCUGGCAUAAUGGCUUUAAGCGACCCGUCUUGAAACACGGACCAAGGAGUCUAACAUGCCUGCGAGUGUUUGGGUGGUAAACCCAAGCGCGUAAUGAAAGUGAAAGUUGAGAUCCCUGUCGUGGGGAGCAUCGACGCCCGGACCAGAACUUUUGGGACGGAUCCGCGGUAGAGCAUGUAUGUUGGGACCCGAAAGAUGGUGAACUAUGCCUGAAUAGGGUGAAGCCAGAGGAAACUCUGGUGGAGGCUCGUAGCGAUUCUGACGUGCAAAUCGAUCGUCAAAUUUGGGUAUAGGGGCGAAAGACAAUCGAACAUCUAGAGU
Molecule: ribosomal RNA, 906 nt
Filed under: Leucoagaricus candidus
Lineage: Eukaryota; Fungi; Basidiomycota; Agaricomycetes; Agaricales; Agaricaceae
Description: Leucoagaricus sp. YM-2022c partial large subunit ribosomal RNA
Source: RNAcentral